Molecule: ribosomal RNA, 338 nt
Filed under: uncultured bacterium
Lineage: Bacteria
Description: bacterial SSU rRNA
Rfam family: Bacterial small subunit ribosomal RNA
Source: RNAcentral
AUUGAACGCUGGCGGCAUGCCUUACACAUGCAAGUCGAACGGUAACGCGGGGCAACCUGGCGACGAGUGGCGAACGGGUGAGUAAUGCAUCGGAACGUGCCCAGUAGUGGGGGAGUAGCCCGGCGAAAGCCGGAUUAAUACCGCAUACGACCUACGGGUGAAAGCGGGGGACCGGUAAGGCCUCGCGCUGUUGGAGCGGCCGAUGUCAGAUUAGGUAGUUGGUGGGGUAAAGGCCUACCAAGCCUUCGAUCUGUAGCUGGUCUGAGAGGACGACCAGCCACACUGGGACUGAGACACGGCCCAGACUCCUACGGGAGGCAGCAGUGGGGAAGUUUUGG